RNAcentral lists this ribosomal RNA (302 nucleotides) under uncultured bacterium. Its description in RNAcentral is "partial 16S ribosomal RNA". It matches the Rfam family "Bacterial small subunit ribosomal RNA", at positions 508 to 807 of the family's 1533-position model. The record is from RNAcentral.
GCAGUCGCCGCGGUAAUACGAAGGGGGCUAGCGUUGUUCGGAUUUACUGGGCGUAAAGCGCACGUAGGCGGACUUUUAAGUCAGGGGUGAAAUCCCGGGGCUCAACCCCGGAACUGCCUUUGAUACUGGAAGUCUUGAGUAUGGUAGAGGUGAGUGGAAUUCCGAGUGUAGAGGUGAAAUUCGUAGAUAUUCGGAGGAACACCAGUGGCGAAGGCGGCUCACUGGACCAUUACUGACGCUGAGGUGCGAAAGCGUGGGGAGCAAACAGGAUUAGAUACCCCGGUAGUCCCUGUCUCUUAUAC